RNAcentral lists this ribosomal RNA (771 nucleotides) under Cellulosimicrobium cellulans. RNAcentral's name for it is "bacterial SSU rRNA". It matches the Rfam family "Bacterial small subunit ribosomal RNA", at positions 369 to 1157 of the family's 1533-position model. The record is from RNAcentral. Lineage: Bacteria; Bacillati; Actinomycetota; Actinomycetes; Micrococcales; Promicromonosporaceae.
CAAUGGGCGAAAGCCUGAUGCAGCGACGCCGCGUGAGGGAUGAAGGCCUUCGGGUUGUAAACCUCUUUCAGCAGGGAAGAAGCGCAAGUGACGGUACCUGCAGAAGAAGCGCCGGCUAACUACGUGCCAGCAGCCGCGGUAAUACGUAGGGCGCAAGCGUUGUCCGGAAUUAUUGGGCGUAAAGAGCUCGUAGGCGGUUUGUCGCGUCUGGUGUGAAAACUCGAGGCUCAACCUCGAGCUUGCAUCGGGUACGGGCAGACUAGAGUGCGGUAGGGGAGACUGGAAUUCCUGGUGUAGCGGUGGAAUGCGCAGAUAUCAGGAGGAACACCGAUGGCGAGCAGGUCUCUGGGCCGCACUGACGCUGAGGAGCGAAAGCAUGGGGAGCGAACAGGAUUAGAUACCUGGUAGUCCAUGCCGUAAACGUUGGGCACUAGGUGUGGGGCUCAUUCCACGAGUUCCGUGCCGCAGCAAACGCAUAAGUGCCCCGCCUGGGGAUACGGCCGCAAGGCUAAAACUCAAAGGAAUUGACGGGGGCCCGCACAAGCGGCGGAGCAUGCGGAUUAAUUCGAUGCAACGCGAAGAACCUUACCAAGGCUUGACAUGCACGAGAAGCCACCAGAGAUGGUGGUCUCUUUGGACACUCGUGCACAGGUGGUGCAUGGUUGUCGUCAGCUCGUGUCGUGAGAUGUUGGGUUAAGUCCCGCAACGAGCGCAACCCUCGUCCCAUGUUGCCAGCGGGUUAUGCCGGGGACUCAUGGGAGACUGCCGGGG